RNAcentral lists this ribosomal RNA (179 nucleotides) under uncultured bacterium. RNAcentral's name for it is "partial 16S ribosomal RNA". It matches the Rfam family "Bacterial small subunit ribosomal RNA", at positions 1314 to 1500 of the family's 1533-position model. The record is from RNAcentral.
GACUCCAUGAAGCUGGAUUCGCUAGUAAUCGCGCAUCAGCCACGGCGCGGUGAAUACGUUCCCGGGCCUUGUACACACCGCCCGUCAAGCCAUGGGAGCCGGGGGUACCUGAAGUGCGUGACCGCAAGGAGCGCCCUAAGGUAAAACCGGUGACUGGGGCUAAGUCGUAACAAGGUAAC